RNAcentral lists this transfer RNA (76 nucleotides) under Clostridiaceae bacterium. RNAcentral's name for it is "tRNA-Thr". It matches the Rfam family "tRNA". Rfam says of the family: Transfer RNA (tRNA) molecules are approximately 80 nucleotides in length. Their secondary structure includes four short double-helical elements and three loops (D, anti-codon, and T loops). Further hydrogen bonds mediate the characteristic L-shaped molecular structure. tRNAs have two regions of fundamental functional importance: the anti-codon, which is responsible for specific mRNA codon recognition, and the 3' end, to which the tRNAs corresponding amino acid is attached (by aminoacyl-tRNA synthetases). tRNAs cope with the degeneracy of the genetic code in two manners: having more than one tRNA (with a specific anti-codon) for a particular amino acid; and 'wobble' base-pairing, i.e. permitting non-standard base-pairing at the 3rd anti-codon position. The record is from RNAcentral. Lineage: Bacteria; Bacillati; Bacillota; Clostridia; Eubacteriales; Clostridiaceae. RNAcentral also lists the same sequence under 1 other name.
GCUUCUUUAGCUCAGUUGGUAGAGCGCAUCCUUGGUAAGGAUGAGGUCACCAGUUCAACUCUGGUAAGAAGCUCCA